Molecule: non-coding RNA, 187 nt
Filed under: Bacteroidota bacterium
Lineage: Bacteria; Pseudomonadati; Bacteroidota
Source: RNAcentral
ACUUUUGCCGCGCAUUGUGGUUCCUUCAAGUGAAGGAUUAAAAGGGAAUUUCGUGCAAAACGAAAGCUGUUCCCGCAACUGUAAGACUCAUUUCAUCGUUUGAUCAACCCCGCCACUGGGCUUAAUUCCCGGGAAGGCCGGUCAAACAGAGUCAAGCCAGGAGACCUGCCCGAUGCCUGUUACCGGU